GGGUUGUGAGGUUAAGCGACCAAGCGUACACGGUGGAUGCCCUGGCAGUCAGAGGCGAUGAAGGACGUGCUAAUCUGCGAAAAGCGCCGGCGAGGUGAUAUGAACCCUUGACCCGGCGAUGUCCGAAUGGGGAAACCCAGUGUGACUCGUCACACUAUCAUUAACUGAAUCCAUAGGUUAAUGAGGCGAACCGGGGGAACUGAAACAUCUAAGUACCCCGAGGAAAAGAAAUCAACCGAGAUUCCCCCAGUAGCGGCGAGCGAACGGGGAGGAGCCCAGAGCCUGAAUCAGCAGGUGUGUUAGUGGAAGUGUCUGGAAAGGCACGCGAUACAGGGUGAAAGCCCCGUACACGAAAAUGCACCUGGUGUGAGCUCGAUGAGUAGGGCGGGACACGUGGUAUCCUGUCUGAAUAUGGGGGGACCAUCCUCCAAGGCUAAAUACUCCUGACUGACCGAUAGUGAACCAGUACCGUGAGGGAAAGGCGAAAAGAACCCCGGCGAGGGGAGUGAAAAAGAACCUGAAACCGUGUACGUACAAGCAGUGGGAGCACAGGUUUACCUGUGUGACUGCGUACCUUUUGUAUAAUGGGUCAGCGACUUAUAUUCUGUAGCAAGGUUAACCGAAUAGGGGAGCCGGAGGGAAACCGAGUCUUAAUUGGGCGUUAAGUUGCAGGGUAUAGACCCGAAACCCGGUGAUCUAGCCAUGGGCAGGUUGAAGGUUGGGUAACACUAACUGGAGGACCGAACCGACUAAUGUUGAAAAAUUAGCGGAUGACCUGUGGCUGGGGGUGAAAGGCCAAUCAAACCGGGAGAUAGCUGGUUCUCCCCGAAAGCUAUUUAGGUAGCGCCUCGUGAACUCAUCUCCGGGGGUAGAGCACUGUUUCGGCUAGGGGGCCAUCCCGGCUUACCAACCCGAUGCAAACUGCGAAUACCGGAGAAUGUUAUCACGGGAGACACACGGCGGGUGCUAACGUCCGUCGUGAAGAGGGAAACAACCCAGACCGCCAGCUAAGGUCCCAAAGUCAUGGUUAAGUGGGAAACGAUGUGGGAAGGCCCAGACAGCCAGGAUGUUGGCUUAGAAGCAGCCAUCAUUUAAAGAAAGCGUAAUAGCUCACUGGUCGAGUCGGCCUGCGCGGAAGAUGUAACGGGGCUAAACCAUGCACCGAAGCUGCGGCAGCGGCACGCAAGUGUUGUUGGGUAGGGGAGCGUUCUGUAAGCCGUUGAAGGUGGCCUGUGAGGGUUGCUGGAGGUAUCAGAAGUGCGAAUGCUGACAUAAGUAACGAUAAAGCGGGUGAAAAGCCCGCUCGCCGGAAGACCAAGGGUUCCUGUCCAACGUUAAUCGGGGCAGGGUGAGUCGACCCCUAAGGCGAGGCCGAAAGGCGUAGUCGAUGGGAAACGGGUUAAUAUUCCCGUACUUGGUGUUACUGCGAAGGGGGGACGGAGAAGGCUAUGUUGGCCGGGCGACGGUUGUCCCGGUUUAAGCGUGUAGGCUGGUUUUCCAGGCAAAUCCGGAAAAUCAAGGCUGAGGCGUGACGACGAGGCACCACGGUGCUGAAGCAACAAAUGCCCUGCUUCCAGGAAAAGCCUCUAAGCGUCAGGUAACAUCAAAUCGUACCCCAAACCGACACAGGUGGUCAGGUAGAGAAUACCAAGGCGCUUGAGAGAACUCGGGUGAAGGAACUAGGCAAAAUGGUGCCGUAACUUCGGGAGAAGGCACGCUGACAUGUAGGUGAAGCGGUUUACCCGUGGAGCUGAAGUCAGUCGAAGAUACCAGCUGGCUGCAACUGUUUAUUAAAAACACAGCACUGUGCAAACACGAAAGUGGACGUAUACGGUGUGACGCCUGCCCGGUGCCGGAAGGUUAAUUGAUGGGGUCAGCGCAAGCGAAGCUCCUGAUCGAAGCCCCGGUAAACGGCGGCCGUAACUAUAACGGUCCUAAGGUAGCGAAAUUCCUUGUCGGGUAAGUUCCGACCUGCACGAAUGGCGUAAUGAUGGCCAGGCUGUCUCCACCCGAGACUCAGUGAAAUUGAACUCGCUGUGAAGAUGCAGUGUACCCGCGGCAAGACGGAAAGACCCCGUGAACCUUUACUAUAGCUUGACACUGAACACUGGUCCUUGAUGUGCAGGAUAGGUGGGAGGCUUUGAAGCGUGGACGCCAGUCUGCGUGGAGCCGUCCUUGAAAUACCACCCUUUAAUGGCUGGUGUUCUAACGUGGGCCCCUGACCGGGGUUGCAGACAGUGUCUGGUGGGUAGUUUGACUGGGGCGGUCUCCUCCCAAAGAGUAACGGAGGAGCACGAAGGUUGGCUAAUCCUGGUCGGACAUCAGGAGGUUAGUGCAAUGGCAUAAGCCAGCUUGACUGCGAGCGUGACGGCGCGAGCAGGUGCGAAAGCAGGUCAUAGUGAUCCGGUGGUUCUGAAUGGAAGGGCCAUCGCUCAACGGAUAAAAGGUACUCCGGGGAUAACAGGCUGAUACCGCCCAAGAGUUCAUAUCGACGGCGGUGUUUGGCACCUCGAUGUCGGCUCAUCACAUCCUGGGGCUGAAGUAGGUCCCAAGGGUAUGGCUGUUCGCCAUUUAAAGUGGUACGCGAGCUGGGUUUAGAACGUCGUGAGACAGUUCGGUCCCUAUCUGCCGUGGGCGCUGGAAGAUUGAGGGGGGCUGCUCCUAGUACGAGAGGACCGGAGUGGACGCAUCACUGGUGUUCGGGUUGUCAUGCCAAUGGCACUGCCCGGUAGCUAAAUGCGGAAGAGAUAAGUGCUGAAAGCAUCUAAGCACGAAACUUGCCCCGAGAUGAAUCUUCCCUGAGACUUUAAGUCUCCUGAAGGAACGUUGAAGACGACGACGUUGAUAGGCCGGGUGUGUAAGCGCAGCGAUGCGUUGAGCUAACCGGUACUAAUGAACCGUGAGGCUUAACCUUACAACGCCGAAG
Molecule: ribosomal RNA, 2926 nt
Filed under: Salmonella bongori serovar 48:z41:-- str. RKS3044
Lineage: Bacteria; Pseudomonadati; Pseudomonadota; Gammaproteobacteria; Enterobacterales; Enterobacteriaceae
Description: bacterial LSU rRNA
Rfam family: Bacterial large subunit ribosomal RNA
Source: RNAcentral